UUGCACCUAGAGUGCCUUAUGUCUGGUUUAAGAAAAGGUUCUCACAUAUACUUCUAUUGAUUUAGUUUGUCACCACUGAUUAUCCAAAGGUAAGCAACGGAAUAUUGUACCUGAAGACCUCCGUCUCUUAUAAUAACCUAGUAGCGUCAAACCACCUGUAAACCCUUGCUUAAUGGGAAAAUGUGAAUUGGAGUGGAAAAUAUAUAGGAUUUUCUGCAACUCAAAUAGGCUC
RNAcentral lists this long non-coding RNA (232 nucleotides) under Nicotiana benthamiana. RNAcentral describes it as "long non-coding RNA (NBEN_LNC000920)". Lineage: Eukaryota; Viridiplantae; Streptophyta; Magnoliopsida; Solanales; Solanaceae. The record is from RNAcentral.